This 5690-nucleotide long non-coding RNA is filed under the name Daucus carota (carrot). RNAcentral's name for it is "long non-coding RNA (DCAR_LNC000754)". The record is from RNAcentral. Lineage: Eukaryota; Viridiplantae; Streptophyta; Magnoliopsida; Apiales; Apiaceae.
AGUGGCAUUUGAGAUCAAGCCUUCCACCGAUCCAUUUGCGAUCAAAACGGCUCCUAUUGAUCAUCCACCUCCUCCUAGUGUUAGGAACUGGCUUCCAUGGGGAAGUUCCAAAAGGAUUACACCUUCAGUGGGAAGUUCCAGAAGGUAUGCCAUGUCUAUUGGAGGUUUGACACAAAGGACUUCUAGUAGCCACUUUUGUGAUCUAGACCUUGAUGACGACGACGAUGAGUAUGAUGGACUCAUGGCAGAUAUUGAAGAAGGUUUCGACAAAGAGGAGGAACGGAAAGAAAGUUCUCUUGAGAGAUCACCUACACAACUACUAACCAAAGUUGCCAAGAAGCCGAAAGAUGCUAGAUUGUCGGUUAUAUUGCUUGAUCAAGGAUUGUUCACUGUGUACAAGCGCCUCUUUGUGCUUUGCUUGACUAUCAAUAUCACCUUUUUGGUGCUUGCUUGCACCGGAAAUUUCCAGUAUGCUGAAGACAAUGCUGCGCUAUUUUCUAUUGCCAACAUUCUUGCUUUGACAAUUUGUCGUAGUGAAGCCUGUUUACGAGGUGUUUUUUGGCUAGCUGUCAAGGUUUUUGGGCAUUCUUGGGUGCCUUUGCGCCUCAAGACCGCGGUGACAUCAUUUUUACAGUGUCUUGGAGGGAUACAUAGUGGCGCUGGAGUCUCGUCAGUGGCAUGGCUGAUAUAUGCAUUAGUAUUAACCAUACAAGACAGAGAGAAUACUUCAAGUGCAAUUAUUGGAAUAGCCUCAACCAUCCUAUCCCUUCUUGUUUUGUCUUGUCUCGCAGCAUUUCCACUAGUACGCCAUCUUCAUCACAACGUUUUUGAAAGGAUUCAUCGGUUUGCAGGUUGGGCUAGUCUUGUACUAGUUUGGGCAUUCAUCACACUCAAAAUUACUUAUGACCCCAAAACAAAGUCAUAUAAAAACUCAUCUGUCUUACUUGAACGCCAAGAAUUCUGGUUUACACUAGCCAUUACCAUCCUUAUAAUCCUCCCAUGGAUGACCAUGAGACGUGUACCAGUCAAAGUCUCAGCACCAUCUGGCCAUGCAUCCAUAAUCAAGUUUCAGGGCGGUGUAAAGUCAGGAAUCUUAGGCAGAAUAAGUCCAUCACCUUUGUCUGAAUGGCAUGCAUUUGGCAUAAUUUCAGAUGGAAAACAAGAGCACAUGAUGCUGGCUGGUGCAGUUGGAGACUUCACAAAGUCAUUAGUCUCUAAUCCACCGAGUCAUUUGUGGGUCCGGACUGUGCAUUUUGCAGGAUUGCCAUAUUUAGUUAACAUGUACAACAGAGUUCUUGUGGUGGCCACUGGAUCAGGUAUAUGUGUCUUCUUGUCAUUCUUAUUGCAGCCAUCGUCUGCAGAUGUUUGCGUGCUUUGGGUGGCCAAAGGAAUUGAACAAAAUUUUGGCAAAGAAAUUAAAGACUGGACUAGCGGAUUCCCGAAAGACAAGGUCAUCGUUCAUGACACCGCAAUACUUGGAAGGCCUAAUGUGUCACAAAUGAGCAUUGAUGCCGCAAAGAAUUGGGGAGCUGAAGUUGUUAUUGUGACCAGUAAUCCUGAAGGGAGUAGAGAUGUUGUUAAUGCUUGCAAGGCCUCUGGAAUUCCAGCCUUUGGUCCCAUCUGGGAUUCUUAAACAUUAUCAUCCAAAGGCAAUUAACUACCUCGGAACGAGAUAUGUUUUGCAUUUAGAGUUGUUUGUUGGGGUUUCAUAUACAUAAUCAUGUUCUAUCGGAGGCCUGGCCACCAUGGUAGAAAUACAUGUACAAAAAAUUUGAAAUAAUAUUUUAUGCUGAAUUGUAAAAUACCGAUUCAUAGUAGGCAUCUUCAACUAUAAAUAUCAAAAUUUAGAACUGCUUAGCCUGUAUUUUGUACUAUUUGUUAUGCGCAACCAGUUGAUGUCGACAGAUUAUGAUCGCAAAACUGGUUAUCACAUAAUCAUGUUCAAUAAACUGAAAAAAAUUAAGAACUGAAAUGUGUUUGCUUCAGGUUUAUAUGUGCUUACAUAUCUUGACUCUAUCAAAAUGCCCAUCAUCUUAAAGUGACAAUUUAUACUACCAUUGAUCCUAACGGCGUUAAAUGGAAUGGACGGAAGUAUGCUUGUUGCUCAAUUUUGGUAAUUGCGGCAUGCAUUUUGCUAGAUAUUGAAGAUGGAGUGCACAAAAUGCACAAGGAGGCAACUAUAUGCACACAACCUGCAUUUUAUUCAAUUGUUUAUUCCGAGGCCAGCAUCUAUAAUUUCCUUGUUGAUUGAACCGCAACAUGCUAUUAGAGCACCCGUGCUAAAUCCUGCACAACAAUAUGUAAGAAUCAGCAAUUGAGAAAUAGUAACAGCAAUAUGUAACAAAGGGCUUUAAAAAAUUGACAUGAGAAUAUACAAUAGUUGCAUUGCGGGGAUUUAGUAGUCAGCAUAUACAAUGUUGACAUGAGGAUGUGUGAAACUCUUGAAUUCGGGCCAACUGGGUCUCAAACAUAGUAUUAUGCUGCAUACAAAAACUUAAAGCUCUCACCAUCUCCAUGCUCAAGCCGGCCAGCAAUUCGUGAUUGUAGUCUGUUAACUGAGAAAUCCAGGAAUUAACAAAGUUGAGGUCAUUACCAAAAUUAAGACGUCUGACUAUCGCUGCUCGUCGGAAUUCAUCCUAGAGGGUGGUGGUGAUAAAGUCGGGGUUGCUGAGAUAGCAGGCAAGGAUUCGUGAUUACAAAAGAUCUAGGAUUUUUUCCUACCAGUUCAGUUUACUCUUCAACUGCUAUAUUGAAAAGGACCUAAUAUGAUGCGGCCUAGUUAAGGACCUUGAACCGUGCCAGUCGAUUCAGAACUUUUCGAAUCAUAUUCAAACUUGACUAUGUCUUUAUAACUUAACUCAAAUAUUAGAGGGCGCCCUGCUCACCGAUAAGGACAAUCCAAACUCUAGAACAAAGCCAUCCAAAAAAUGUUUAUGAAAAGACCAUACAAGUUCUUCAACAAGAACAACCCAUCAAAAUACUACAAAAUAAAAUCUUCUUCAAUCUGCUUCCACUACUUAAUUCUCACUGAUUAUGACUUCUAAUAUUUACGACAGAGCUCAUCCAUAUCCUAAGGACAUUUUCUUUAACACAAAAUAACUUGUAUUAUCUCAUAUUUUCUUCUUUCUCCAUUAUAUUUCUGUAUAAUUUUCAUUCCAUAUUUUUCUCUUUUCAUUCCAUACAAGAGAAAACAGCUUUAAUCCUGACCUAAUUGCCUAUUUUCAUGUCUUUAGUCCUCAUAUGAGGCCAAGCCAUACAAUUUGGUUGAUAUUAUUGAAUUUCGACUAUAAUAUAGUCAUUUCCCCUUGCCCUCUCCCACAGGUUACACACUUGUUUGAAAGAGCUGAUCAUCUUUUGCUCUCACAUCAACAAAUGGACGUAGUAUUAAACUAGCUACUUGCAACAAAUUCAUUUAUCAUCUCUUGCAAAAGUUAUUGGCCCAAUUCAUUUAUCAGAACAUAAAACUUCUUUUAACUUCUAAUAUUUUGACGACUUGUUUCUGUUAUAACUUAUAACCACAACCUUUCACUGGGUGAAUCAUUUCCUUUUUUAUAAAAGAAGUUGCAGUUGCAGGCUUUCAGUUGCAUAUUUUCAACUAAAUUCAAGAUAACCUUUUCUUUUAUUAAACCUUUUCUCGGCGAUACAUGAUUUUUUCUGUAAAUUCCUCCAAAUUCUUGGUGGCCUACUAUGCCAACAAACUUACACAUCUAUCGAUUUCUCAGUCUAUUUCGACCAUCGAUUUUUUUAUUUUUACUUUUUGUUUUUCAGAAUCAAACUUUGAAGUUUGGCAUUGUUCUGAACCUACAUGAUUUAAAAAUUAGCAGAAGAGGAAAGUGGCUUAAUAUGUACCAUGGUGUAGUCAGUAGAGUGUAUAGAGUGAUUACAACGUUGUUAAUUUUGUUUGAAGGAUAGAUUACAAAGUUGGUUAGUUUAAAAAUAUCGUAUAUAUCAAUUAAUGUUCAAUGCCAUUCUUCUCCUUUGAAAUUUCUAACGCCUUUUUUUAAUUUAACCUUUGAAUGGACAGUAUAUAAUAUAAUCAUUCAAUUUAUGAGGAAACAUUAAUUUAUCAAGAUUGUAAAUUAAUUAAAAAUAAAAAUUUAAGGUCGUUGAUUUUUUUUGAGGAAUGUAAGGUUGUUGUUAUUAUAUUAAAAUCAAAAACUUUAUAAUAAAUAUUAAUUUAUUAUAAAUUAUUAAUUAAUCAAGAUCUCAAUAACCUUUCCACAUAGAUGGGCACCUGUAUAGACUGUAUUGCCGUUUAACAAAAAAGAAUUGAAUUUUGUUUAAAAGUGAAUUGCUUACGACAACUAGAUGAUCAACCCGAAAAGUUUACACUGUACACUAAGAUUCGCCGCCGGACGAUCCUUGUAAAUCGUUGACAGUUAUGAUGAAAAUAACGAUACAACACACACUUGUUGUGUUUUAAAAUACAGUACUAAUUAUUUUUGACUUUUUUCACAUACUAUCUUCUAAUAGUGUACGGCAUGAGUUCUUUCAAAUAUUUUAAUAAUUUUAAAAUAAUGUAUAAUAAUGCAUUUGUUGAUAUUUAAUUUUUUUUUCUUAUCUUUAAAAUUACUAUAGAACUAAUGGGAAUCACAUAUAAUAUAGAAUUGUUUAUAAAAUUUAUUUUAGUAUUGUAACAAUAUGGUUUUCAUUAUUUUAAAAUUAUGAUUAAAAGGAUCAACCAAAUGACAAAUUAAACUAUUAUUAUAGUUUCAAUAUUACCAAUUCAUGUUUUGAAAAUCAUUAUUUUAAUAUUUAUUUUUAAAUUUUCAUUUUUCUGUGUAAAUAUUUGAAUUCAAAUUCUUGUUCAAAAUUUUCUGAAAGAUGGAUCGGUGAAGGUAUGUGUUUUAAAUAUUAAUAAUAAGAAAUAUUUCAAGUACAAAAUUAGGCACAAAAUCUUUCACACAACAUAUGUUGUUUUGUUUGAAACGGAUUUCUAUAUUCGCAUAAAUAAUAUCAAUUCUCAUCUCAAUCGUCAUGUUCUCAACCUUUUGUACCCAAUAUUAUCCGGUUUUAUCCACGCAACAACACUACUCUUACUUAAUACAUAAGAAAUUAAGAACAACUAAUCUAAAGUGACUGCUAUCCGGGAUGAAUGGAGUAUUAUUCUUGGGUAUAAACACAAAGAAACGAAACAACUUUCCUAGGAUAAAAAAGUCCUGACAGCUUAUCUUUUACUAUAAUUUUGACCGGCAAAACUAAUUGCGUGACAAAGUCAAGAGAAGCAUGGAUGUGCAUUGGAACAUAUACCAUACGAGGUGCACUUAUAAAUAGUGAACAACAAAAGUAAGUAACAUCACACACUCAUAUUAUUAUCCUCCUAAAAACAACACUUAGAAAGCUCUUGCUUUGGGAUAGAAUCAAAUGGAUGUGAAAAAACUUGCAAGAUUCUCAAGCUGCAGAGGAGUGGCAUUUGAGAUCAAACCGUCCAGCGAUCCAUUUGCCAUCAAAACGGCUCCCAUUGAUUAUCCACCUCCUCCUAGUGCAAGGCAUUGGCUUCCAUGGGGAAGUUCCAAAAGGAUUACACCUUCCAUGGGAAGUUCCAGAAGGUAUGCCUCAUCUAUUGGAGGUUUGACACAAAGGACUUCUAGUAGCCACUUUUGUGAUCUAGACCUUGAUGACGACGACGAUGAGGAGUAUGAUGGACUCAUGGCAGAUAUUGAAGAAGGUUUUGACAAAGAGGAGGAACA